This 484-nucleotide ribosomal RNA is filed under the name uncultured bacterium. Its description in RNAcentral is "partial 16S ribosomal RNA". It matches the Rfam family "Bacterial small subunit ribosomal RNA", at positions 899 to 1397 of the family's 1533-position model. The record is from RNAcentral.
ACUCAAAUGAAUUGACGGGGACCCACACAAGCGGUGGAGCAUGGGGUUUAAUUCGAUGACAAGCGAAGCACCUCACCCAGACUUGACAUGGUAGGAAUCCGGCCGAAAGGUUGGAGUGCCGCAAGGAACCUACACACAGGCGGUGCACGGUCGUCGUCAGCUCGUGCCUUGAGGUGUACUGUUCAGUCAGCCAACGAGCGCAACCCUCAUCCUAUGUUGUUUUUUCAUAGGAGACUGCCGCCUCCAAGGCGGAGGAAGGUGAGGAUGACGUCAGAUCAGCGUGCCCUUUAUGUCUGGGGCAACACCCGUGCUACAAUGGUCGGUACAAACGGAAGCAAACCAGCGAUGGUAAGCAAAUCUGAAAAAACCGAUCUCAGUUCGGAUUGAAGUCUGCAACUCGACUUCAUGAAGUUGGAAUCGCUAGUAACCGUGAAUCAGCUACGUCACGGUGAAUAUGUUCCUGGGUCUUGCACACACCGCCCGU